AGGUGCUCCUGUCCAAAAUGUUUGUUCUGAAAUAUCCUGGCUCCAGAAUGUGCACAGAAAUACCCUGAUGAUACAGUUCCCGUCUGAAAAGAAAUUCAGACAAUUGUAUGCCGACACACUUUCGAGUGAAUUGGUGGCCCUGAAAAGGGCCGUCGAACGGGACUUAACAUCGCCGGAUAGUGUUGCGAAUACGGAAGAAGUAGGCUACUUUCGCAUCCCACUAUCAUUGAAGUGAACCCCGUCCGCUAGGUAGUCAGCUGGGUACCUCGUCGACAUCGGAACCAGAUCCUGUCCCAAAGCUUUUUUCGAACCCCGGUUAACAGCAUUUCUCAAAGCAGCAUGGACCGGAAAGCCAGCAAACUCUCCACCACUUCAUUUGGCACUGUCGUCGGAACCGUGAACAUUCGGAAGAAAUGCUGCUCAAUCUGUGCAAGAUUACAGACACAGUAAUGAAAGACGAUUUUUUAAGCAAGUGUGCCAAACAAUCUCUAAUUACAAAAAAUUUCGGAUAGUUCUGCUCUUUGUACUUUGUGAUUUGAGAGCUAUACAUUAUUUUGUACUGUUGUGAAUGUUUUAUAUGUAAAAAAAAAAGUACAUAACCUAGUGCUAUUUGCAUACAGCGUUUUGAUUUGUUAUGUUAUGUCUCGCUAUGUUAGUGAGGGUUUUUAAAAUGAUUUUUGUGAUUUACAAUAAUUUUUCUAUUUAUAUUGUGUAUUUUUUAUUUGGUAAACAAACGUACUUAGUGCUAAUCGACAUUCAGUAUUUUAAUUUAUUACAACGUUACGUUCCGCCUUGUUUUGACAUUUGAAAAAUAUAUCAACUUUAAUUUAUCGCUUACUUCCGGUUAUAUGUAAGUACGUGCUUUCAGUUUUCGGGUUUUUUAAAACUUUUUUCUCAAUUAAUACAAUAAAAGUAUAAUAGAGAUGUACGUCA
Long non-coding RNA from Gigantopelta aegis, 933 nucleotides. RefSeq lists it as uncharacterized. The transcript is spliced from 3 exons. The record is from RefSeq and is a predicted model, not a curated record. Lineage: Eukaryota; Metazoa; Mollusca; Gastropoda; Neomphalida; Peltospiridae.